GGGCGAGUGGCGGAACUGGCAGACGCGCCGGACUCAAAAUCCUGUGUCCUUUUGGACGUGAGGGUUCGACUCCCUCCUCGCCCACCA
This 87-nucleotide transfer RNA is filed under the name Candidatus Saccharimonadota bacterium. RNAcentral's name for it is "tRNA-Leu". It matches the Rfam family "tRNA". From Rfam's summary of the family: Transfer RNA (tRNA) molecules are approximately 80 nucleotides in length. The record is from RNAcentral. Lineage: Bacteria; Candidatus Saccharimonadota.